This 468-nucleotide ribosomal RNA is filed under the name uncultured bacterium. Its description in RNAcentral is "partial 16S ribosomal RNA". It matches the Rfam family "Bacterial small subunit ribosomal RNA", at positions 28 to 507 of the family's 1533-position model. The record is from RNAcentral.
GACGAACGCUGGCGGCGUGCUUAACACAUGCAAGUCGAACGGAAAGGCCCUGCUCUUGCGGGGUGCUCGAGUGGCGAACGGGUGAGUAACACGCGAGUAACCUGCCCCUGACUUUGGGAUAACUUCAGGAAACAGGGGCUAAUAUCGGAUAGGAGCUCCUGCUGCACGGUGGGGGAUGGUAAGUGUCGGCGGUUGGGGAUGGUCUGGCGGCUUAUCAGCUAGUUGGUGGGGUAGUGGCUGACCAAGGCUUUGACGGGUAGCCGGCCUGAGAGGCUGACCGGGGACCAUAGGCCUGAGGGACGGACCAGACGCGUACGGGAGGCAGAAGUGGAGAGUAUUGCGCAAUGGGCGGAAGCGUGAUACGACGACGCCGCGUGCGGGAUGACGGCUUACGAGUUGUGAACCAAUUUCGCCUGUGACGUGGAGUGAGUGACGGUAAUGGGUAAAGAAGCACCGGCUAACUACGUG